AACGAACGCUGGCGGCAUGCCUAACACAUGCAAGUCGAACGAGACCUUCGGGUCUAGUGGCGAACGGGUGCGUAACGCGUGGGAACCUGCCCUUAGGUUCGGAAUAACUCCCCGAAAGGGGUGCUAAUACCGGAUAAUGUCUUCGGACCAAAGAUUUAUCGCCUUUGGGUGGGCCCGCGUUGGAUUAGCUAGUUGGUAGGGUAAAAGCCUACCAAGGCGACGAUCCAUAGCUGGUCUGAGAGGAUGAUCAGCCACACUGGGACCGAGACACGGCCCAGACUCCUACGGGAGGCAGCAGUGGGGAAUAUUGGACAAUGGGCGAAAGCCUGAUCCAGCAAUGCCGCGUGAGUGAUGAAGGCCUUAGGGUUGUAAAGCUCUUUUACCCGGGAUGAUAAUGACAGUACCGGGAGAAUAAGCUCCGGCUAACUCCGUG
This 433-nucleotide ribosomal RNA is filed under the name uncultured bacterium. RNAcentral describes it as "partial 16S ribosomal RNA". It matches the Rfam family "Bacterial small subunit ribosomal RNA", at positions 29 to 507 of the family's 1533-position model. The record is from RNAcentral.